RNAcentral lists this long non-coding RNA (2385 nucleotides) under Triticum aestivum (bread wheat). Its description in RNAcentral is "long non-coding RNA (TAES_LNC021523)". The record is from RNAcentral. Lineage: Eukaryota; Viridiplantae; Streptophyta; Magnoliopsida; Poales; Poaceae.
GUUUAUUUUAUAGUCUUGGUUGAGGUCCACUUUAUUAGCCAAGAAAUUAUCUAUUUAUUUGAUUUGCCUAAAUAGACAGUAAGGUCUACUAUUUUUAUUUUAUUGGAGCCAUAGUUUGAUUGAACCAUACUGAAGUUACAAGUAAUUUCUGUUUUUACAUCUGUAUAUUUGAUUUGCUUCAUGUUCUUGAUUGAGACAAGUGAGGAGGAACAUCGACUAUUUUGCUAGGCAAUCACAUCUAAGACAAAACAUCCACGGUUGUUGUAUGAGUAAAAGCUAUACAAAAUACUUUUAAGGAGGAAGCAAUAUAUGUGUUUUCUUUUCGCUUCCUUGCUCUUGCUUAGUCCAGUCUAUUUUAUUCACAAAGGAAUCAACUGAUAUUCUCUUUUCUUCGGCAGCCGGAAUUCGAAAUUUCAAGUGCUUUGAUGUAGAUAGUGAUUACAAUGUGGCCAGGCCUUGAGGAUUUUUUCAGGUUUUGUAACAGGAAGUUAUCUCUAAAAACUAUUUUUCAUGGUUGCUAUCAAAUGGUAUGUUAAUAUUCCCUUGGCUUCAUUACUUUGGUCCAGCUUUGUUUUUGUUAGAUCAAUCAUGUUGAGUUCGUGCAUUCUGUUGAUCUAACACGAUGAAAGUAUAGAGAUACGUUGACACACCAGCACAUUCCAUAGUCAUACAUGUUAAUGUUUGUAUCCCUUAUUGAUAUACUUGACCGUUCCGAAUUACCGAUAGUCAUACAAGUUAAUAUUAUUAUCCCUUAUUGAUAUACUCGACUGUUCAGAAUUACCGCUAAUCUUCAGCGGUUACCAAAUAAUUGGAGAAUCUGGAUCUUGGUGCUUGAUUUUGGCAUCUAUGGUACAUGGCUUGAUAUGUUUUUCUCGAUUCUACUUUAUGGUACAUGGCUUGAUGAAGGCAAUUCUACUUUAUGGUACAUGGCUUGAUAUGUUUUUCUCGAUUCUGUUUGUAACUGAUCUGUACUCCUCCAUAUCCACCAUGUUUGACAUAUUAAUUCUGUAAUUCUAUAAUCAUGCAUUAAGAAUGACAAGUGUAUCAUUAGUGUUGCUUCUACUGGUACAUAUUGUCAUAUUAGUUGAGUUAUCAACUGCUGCUAUCAUAUGCUUAGUAAAGUCCCUACCAUUGAAUGCUAAUUUAAAUACAACAACUCACCCACUGAUGAUGCCAUUGAGCCCUGUUCGUACUAAAAAUUGUUAUUUUCUCGCUCUAGGUGUCAGUUAACUAAAUCGACAACAAUCAGAGUUUAAAGUCCUCCUUGUUGCAACCGGCAAUGUCCGGUCCUGGCUGAAGGUAGGAGCUGCUUUAUGCAUUGUUCAUGUUGUGUUCUUUACCUUUUUUGUGAGUUUUGCACAAAAGUUUCUCCAGUUACAGGCUUAAAAGGAUCGCUUUGCAUGGAACAAUGUUCAGAACCUAAUAUAACUAAAUGUCAGUUGCCUGCUCAGUACACUCUUUCAAAGUUGUGAGCGGAUAAAUUGUGGUUAUAGAGAGUAGAGUUUGAUUCAUUGCCUGAUGUAGGAAGGUAGGAUCGAAGUGCUUUUUCAACUAUGGUAAUCGCCAUGGUUUUCUUUUUGGCUUCUUAUGCAUAAGAUCUAAUUUUAGUUUUAAGUGUUACCCAAACAGAGGAGUAUUUAUAUUUGCAGCAGCACUUUGUGGAUCAUAACGGGCAAAUAUUUUUGUAGAAGAUAAGUCAGGUUUAGAACCUUUGAGUACGACAAGUAAAAACUAAAAGUAAAUCCAUUGUAUAUAUUCAAGAGUGGUUAUAGCUCUUUUAUGAUUAGUUUCAAAUACCUAUGACUUUUUAAGCUGCACUUUUAAUAAGAAUUCACUGUUUUGUAAGAAAGUAUUUUGAUGGAAUUAUGUAUAUGGCUACUUGGUUCUGAUGUUUUCUGGAAUUGUGCAGACUUGGUAGUCACAAUGGAGUUCUGAGACAGGAAUCUUGAUCAUUUCUAACAAAUGAUAAUAGUAUGUUGUAUCACUUUAGUUGAUUCAGAUUUCAACCAUACUCUGUUUUGCUUUCUGCAAGGCCAGGAUUGUACCAUUCUUUUAGGAAGACAAGGUCUUCUCUCUUGUUGUUUGGAUGCACUGUGCACUUAUACAUGAGCAGUAUUAAUAUCAGUACUCUCCACUUUGUUAAGACCUGCUUGGUAUAAGUUAUUGGAGAUGUGUGGAAUACAUAUUCUGGUGAAAUCUUAUAUAUCUGAUUCUGUCAUAAUAAGCAUUGCAUAUAUUAUUCACAUAGGUCAUACAGUUUCUCAUAGGACUUCUAUACAAUACAUCUCAGUAUACUAUUACAUUUGAUCAAAAUAUUAAGCUGAGAUUCCUUUUCAAUUCUUCGACACAGGAGGAAUGUACAACACGGAGAUUCAUCUGUUCUAU